Molecule: ribosomal RNA, 154 nt
Filed under: Aurantiochytrium limacinum
Lineage: Eukaryota; Bigyra; Thraustochytrida; Thraustochytriidae
Description: 5.8S ribosomal RNA
Rfam family: 5.8S ribosomal RNA
About the family: 5.8S ribosomal RNA (5.8S rRNA) is a component of the large subunit of the eukaryotic ribosome. It is transcribed by RNA polymerase I as part of the 45S precursor that also contains 18S and 28S rRNA.
Source: RNAcentral
AUGACUUUCAGCGAUGGAUGUCUAGGCUCUCGUAACGAUGAAGAACGCAGCGAAAUGCGAUACGUAGUGUGAAUUGCAGAAUUAGCGAGCAUCAAAUUUUUGAACGCACAUUGCGCUUCCGUGUUAUGCGGUAGCAUUCCUGCUUGAGUGUUUG